Molecule: long non-coding RNA, 234 nt
Filed under: Hordeum vulgare
Lineage: Eukaryota; Viridiplantae; Streptophyta; Magnoliopsida; Poales; Poaceae
Description: long non-coding RNA (HVUL_LNC021114)
Source: RNAcentral
UAAUUAUGAUAGAUCACCUUAUGGUGUCCUAGUGUUAGAAAUUAAGAGUUUACUUUUGAAUAGGGAGGUUUCUUUCCUUAAGAUUAGUCGUGAACAAAAUAGAGUUGCACAUUGCUUAGCGAACUUUGGUCGUAGUGGUGAUAGCACUGCAUGUUGGUUGGGUAGACCACCUCCAUGUAUCACUAUGCUGGUUGCUGAGGAUUGUAAGUCUGUUACAGUUUAAUAAAAUCUCCC